This 445-nucleotide ribosomal RNA is filed under the name Engraulis encrasicolus (European anchovy). Its description in RNAcentral is "partial small subunit ribosomal RNA". It matches the Rfam family "Bacterial small subunit ribosomal RNA", at positions 7 to 794 of the family's 1533-position model. The record is from RNAcentral. Lineage: Eukaryota; Metazoa; Chordata; Actinopteri; Clupeiformes; Engraulidae.
CAAAGGUUUGGUCCUAGCCUUACUAUCAGCUUUAGCUCAAAUUACACAUGCAAGUCUCCGCAGUCCCGUGAGGAUGCCCCCAACUUCCCACCCGGAAAUAGGGAGCCGGCAUCAGGCACGAUUAUGAAGCCCAAAACGCCUUGCUCAGCCACACCCCCAAGGGAAUUCAGCAGUGAUAAACAUUAAGCCAUAAGCGAAAGCUUGACUUAGUCGGAGCUAAGAGGGCCGGUAAAACUCGUGCCAGCCACCGCGGUUAUACGAGAGACCCUAGUUGAUUGAAGCGGCGUAAAGAGUGGUUAUGGAAUUUUUUACCCUAAAGCAGAAAACCUCUCAAACUGUUAUACGCACCCAGAGGUUAAAACCCCUUACACGAAAGUGACUUUAUUUUCGCCUACCAGAACCCACGAAAGCUAGGAUACAAACUGGGAUUAGAUACCCCACUAUG